Molecule: ribosomal RNA, 321 nt
Filed under: uncultured eukaryote
Lineage: Eukaryota
Description: partial 18S ribosomal RNA
Rfam family: Eukaryotic small subunit ribosomal RNA
Source: RNAcentral
CCCUUAGAUGUUCUGGGCCGCACGCGUGUUACACUGAUGCGUUCAUCAAGCACCACACCUUGGCUCGAGAGGCCUGGGUAAUCUUGAAAUCGCAUCGUGCUGGGGAUAGAUUAUUGUAAUUUUUAAUCUUCAACGAGGAAUUUCUAGUAGGCGUUUGUCAUCAACAAGCACCGAUUACGUCCCUGCCCUUUGUACACACCGCCCGUCGCACCUACCGAUUGAAUGGUCCGGUGAAAUCUCGGGACGGCGGCUUGGUCGCUUGCGUCCGACUGCUGAAACUUGAUUAAACCAUAUCAUUUAGAGGAAGGUGAAGUCGUAACA